This 372-nucleotide ribosomal RNA is filed under the name uncultured organism. RNAcentral describes it as "partial 16S ribosomal RNA". It matches the Rfam family "Bacterial small subunit ribosomal RNA", at positions 527 to 896 of the family's 1533-position model. The record is from RNAcentral.
GUAGGUGGCAAGCGUUGUCCGGAAUUAUUGGGCGUAAAGCGCGCGCAGGCGGUUCUUUAAGUCUGAUGUGAAAGCCCACGGCUCAACCGUGGAGGGUCAUUGGAAACUGGAGAACUGGAGUACAGAAGAGGAAAGCGGAAUUCCACGUGUAGCGGUGAAAUGCGUAGAGAUGUGGAGGAACACCAGUGGCGAAGGCGGCUUUCUGGUCUGUAACUGACGCUGAGGCGCGAAAGCGUGGGGAGCAAACAGGAUUAGAUACCCUGGUAGUCCACGCCGUAAACGAUGAGUGCUAAGUGUUAGGGGGUUUCCGCCCCCCUUAGUGCUGCAGCUAACGCAUUAAGCACUCCGCCUGGGAGUACGGCCGCAAGGCUG